Molecule: ribosomal RNA, 255 nt
Filed under: uncultured bacterium
Lineage: Bacteria
Description: partial 16S ribosomal RNA
Rfam family: Bacterial small subunit ribosomal RNA
Source: RNAcentral
GACGAACCGUGCGAACGUUAUUCGGAAUCACUGGGCUUAAAGCGCGUGUAGGCGGGACGGCACGUCGGUCGCUGAAAGCCCCCGGCUCAACCGGGGAACGGGCGCCGAUACGACCGUCCUGGAGGGACGUAGGGGGACCUGGAACUUCCGGUGGAGCGGUGAAAUGCGUUGAGAUCGGAAGGAACGCCCGUGGCGAAAGCGAGGUCCUGGACGUUUUCUGACGCUGAGACGCGAAAGCCAGGGGAGCGAACGGGG